AUUGAACGCUGGCGGCAGGCCUAACACAUGCAAGUCGAGCGGUAACACAGGGAGCUUGCUCCCGGGUGACGAGCGGCGGACGGGUGAGUAAUGUCUGGGAAACUGCCUGAUGGAGGGGGAUAACUACUGGAAACGGUAGCUAAUACCGCAUAACGUCGCAAGACCAAAGAGGGGGACCUUCGGGCCUCUUGCCAUCAGAUGUGCCCAGAUGGGAUUAGCCAGUAGGUGGGGUAAUGGCUCACCUAGGCGACGAUCCCUGGCUGGUCUGAGAGGGAAACCAGCCACACUGGACCUGAGACACGGUCCAGACUCCUACGGGAGGCAGCAGUGGGGAAUAUUGCACAAUGGGCGCAAGCCUGAUGCAGCCAUGCCGCGUGUAUGAAGAAGGCCUUCGGGUUGUAAAGUACUUUCAGCGGGGAGGAAGGUGUUGAGGUUAAUAACCUCAGCAAUUGACGUUACCCGCAGAAGAAGCACCGGCUAACUCCGUGCCAGCCGCCGCGGUAA
This 504-nucleotide ribosomal RNA is filed under the name uncultured bacterium. Its description in RNAcentral is "partial 16S ribosomal RNA". It matches the Rfam family "Bacterial small subunit ribosomal RNA", at positions 29 to 523 of the family's 1533-position model. The record is from RNAcentral.